CAGUAGCCGCGGUAAUACGAAGGGGGCUAGCGUUGCUCGGAAUCACUGGGCGUAAAGGGUGCGUAGGCGGGUCUUUAAGUCAGAGGUGAAAUCCUGGAGCUCAACUCCAGAACUGCCUUUGAUACUGAGGAUCUUGAGUUCGGGAGAGGUGAGUGGAACUGCGAGUGUAGAGGUGAAAUUCGUAGAUAUUCGCAAGAACACCAGUGGCGAAGGCGGCUCACUGGCCCGAUACUGACGCUGAGGCACGAAAGCGUGGGGAGCGAACAGGAUUAGAUACCCCCGUAGUCCCUGUCUCUUAUAC
This 301-nucleotide ribosomal RNA is filed under the name uncultured bacterium. RNAcentral describes it as "partial 16S ribosomal RNA". It matches the Rfam family "Bacterial small subunit ribosomal RNA", at positions 509 to 807 of the family's 1533-position model. The record is from RNAcentral.